This 45-nucleotide non-coding RNA is filed under the name Schistosoma mattheei. The record is from RNAcentral. Lineage: Eukaryota; Metazoa; Platyhelminthes; Trematoda; Strigeidida; Schistosomatidae.
AUCCAGCUGAUGAGUCCCAAAUAGAACGAAACGUGUGGCCUAGAU